Molecule: ribosomal RNA, 353 nt
Filed under: uncultured bacterium
Lineage: Bacteria
Description: bacterial SSU rRNA
Rfam family: Bacterial small subunit ribosomal RNA
Source: RNAcentral
ACAUCAGUACAGGUGGUGCAUGGCUGUCGUCAGCUCGUGUCGUGAGAUGUUGGGUUAAGUCCCGCAACGAGCGCAACCCUUAUUCUUAGUUGUUUCCCUUUGGGAUUACCCUCUAAGAAGACUGCCUCGGAUAACGGGGAGGAAGGUGGGAUGACGUCAAGUCCGCAUGCUCCUUACGUCUAGGGCUACACACGUCCUACAAUGGGGUCGACAAUGGGAUGCAAUAUCGCAAGAUGGAGCCAAUCCCCAAACGGCCUCUCAGUUCGGAUUGUAGUCUGCAACUCGACUACAUGAAGUUGGAAUCGCUAGUAGUGGCAGAUCAGCAUGCUGCCGUGAAUACGUUCCCGGGUCUU